RNAcentral lists this Y RNA (102 nucleotides) under Carlito syrichta (Philippine tarsier). Its description in RNAcentral is "Y RNA (ENSTSYG00000019783.2)". It matches the Rfam family "Y RNA". Rfam says of the family: Y RNAs are components of the Ro ribonucleoprotein particle (Ro RNP), in association with Ro60 and La proteins. The record is from Rfam by way of RNAcentral. Lineage: Eukaryota; Metazoa; Chordata; Mammalia; Primates; Tarsiidae.
GACUGGACCGAGUGCAGUGGUGUUUACAACUAAUUUGAUCACAAGCAGGAGCAGAUUUCUUUGUUCCUUCUCCACUCCACUGCUUCACUUGACUAGCCUUAA